UGGGGAAUCUUGGACAAUGGGCGCAAGCCUGAUCCAGCCAUGCCGCGUGAGUGACGAAGGCCUUAGGGUUGUAAAGCUCUUUUACCAGGGACGAUAAUGACGGUACCUGGAGAAUAAGUCCCGGCUAACUUCGUGCCAGCAGCCGCGGUAAUACGAAGGGGACUAGCGUUGUUCGGAAUUACUGGGCGUAAAGCGCACGUAGGCGGGAUGGCCAGUCAGAGGUGAAAUCCCAGAGCUCAACUCUGGAACUGCCUUUGAUACAGCCAUUCUCGAGUCCGAUAGAGGUGAGUGGAAUUCCUAGUGUAGAGGUGAAAUUCGUAGAUAUUAGGAAGAACACCAGUGGCGAAGGCGGCUCACUGGAUCGGUACUGACGCUGAGGUGCGAAAGCGUGGGGAGCAAA
Molecule: ribosomal RNA, 400 nt
Filed under: uncultured bacterium
Lineage: Bacteria
Description: bacterial SSU rRNA
Rfam family: Bacterial small subunit ribosomal RNA
Source: RNAcentral